This 87-nucleotide non-coding RNA is filed under the name Oxalobacteraceae bacterium IMCC9480. RNAcentral describes it as "SAH (S-adenosyl-L-homocysteine) riboswitch aptamer". It matches the Rfam family "SAH (S-adenosyl-L-homocysteine) riboswitch aptamer". Lineage: Bacteria; Pseudomonadati; Pseudomonadota; Betaproteobacteria; Burkholderiales; Oxalobacteraceae. RNAcentral also lists the same sequence under 1 other name. The record is from Rfam by way of RNAcentral.
GCCUCCAAGGAGCGUUGCAGCCGGACUUGCGUCAGCAAGCCGGGUCAGGCUUGGAAGCACCAUCCCCAGCAACUGCGCUCACGUUUC